GUCUACGGCCAUACCACCUUGAAUGUGCGCGAUCUCGUCUGUUCUUGGAACCUAAGCAGGGUCUGGCCUGGUUAGGACUUCCAAGGCACACUGGCUGGGAAUACUGGGUGCUGUAGGUU
Cercocebus atys (sooty mangabey) is the source of this 119-nucleotide ribosomal RNA. NCBI's taxonomy places the organism in Eukaryota, Metazoa, Chordata, Mammalia, Primates, Cercopithecidae. The record is from Ensembl.